This 718-nucleotide long non-coding RNA is filed under the name Cricetulus griseus (Chinese hamster). RNAcentral's name for it is "lncRNA (ENSCGRG00015037783.1)". The record is from RNAcentral. Lineage: Eukaryota; Metazoa; Chordata; Mammalia; Rodentia; Cricetidae.
CUUGCUCCUCCUCUCUGCAGAGUCACCAUGUGAGCCCAGGAAGACAGGAUGCUUGUCACUGGUGUCCAUUGAUGGACGUCUAGGCUAUUUCCAACUUCUGGCUAUUACCAAUAGAACAGCAGUGAACACGGAUGAGCAAGUCUCCCUGUGAUGUGCCGAGGCUGACUUCACACACGCUGAGGAUUUGGAAACCCGAACCUGAAAGGGAAUGGCUCAGUGACUCUUCAGAUUGGACUGUGAUGAGACUUCUCCUUGGAGACGCAGCCGCCACAGCGAAAGCUUCACGGAGACACAGUCUCCACAAAGGAAAUUCUGCCUGGAUAAGAGGGCGAGUUCAAGGAAUGGCCCCGCCCUUUUUGAGCUGGAAGAGAAAUGCAAGAUCUAGAGAGCAAUGGUGAAUAGAUGUCCUGCAGUGUCCUCCCGAGAGCCUGUGAGUUUAGCAGAGCAUUCCAUGUGUUCACAGGGGAAGACGGGAGUUUCUCCGACAUGCCUCGAUUGAGCAAGAGUGACGCACCAAGUUCGUGAAGAAAGUGAUUAUAGCGCAUAGCAACUUAACCCUGCAUGUGGAAUACUUAGGACAUUCCAAAGAUUCCAGCUAAUACUCAUUUCUUAACACUAACGCUCUACUAAGCAUUUUUUUAUUUACAUGUAAAAAACGAGCAGCCUAAUAUAUGGCAUAAAACUCAUCAAACAUUAAAAAAAACAAAGUGUAUAGCCC